CCCAGACUCCUACGGGAGGCAGCAGUGGGGGAUAUUGCACAAUGGGGGGAACCCUGAUGCAGCGACGCCGCGUGGGUGAAGGAGCGUUUCGGCGCGUAAAGCCCUCUCGGCAGGGAAGAAGGAGGACGGUACCUGACUAAGGAGCCCCGGCUAACUACGUGCCAGCAGCCGCGGUAAUACGUAGGGGGCAAGCGUUAUCCGGAUUUACUGGGUGUAAAGGGGGCGCAGACGGCAGCGCAAGCCAGGAGUGAAAGCCCGGGGCCCAACCCCGGGACUGCUCUUGGAACUGCGCGGCUGGAGUGCAGGAGGGGCAGGCGGAAUUCCUGGUGUAGCGGUGAAAUGCGUAGAUAUCAGGAGGAACACCGGUGGCGAAGGCGGCCUGCUGGACUGCGACUGACGUUGAGGCCCGAAAGCGUGGGGAGCAAACAGGAUUAGAUACCCUAGUA
Molecule: ribosomal RNA, 446 nt
Filed under: uncultured bacterium
Lineage: Bacteria
Description: partial 16S ribosomal RNA
Rfam family: Bacterial small subunit ribosomal RNA
Source: RNAcentral